This 253-nucleotide ribosomal RNA is filed under the name uncultured bacterium. Its description in RNAcentral is "partial 16S ribosomal RNA". It matches the Rfam family "Bacterial small subunit ribosomal RNA", at positions 524 to 776 of the family's 1533-position model. The record is from RNAcentral.
UACAGAGGUCCCGAGCGUCGUUCGGAUUCACUGGGCGUAAAGGGUGCGUAGGUGGCGAGGUAAGUCGGAUGUGAAAGCUCGGAGCUCAACUCCGAAAUGGCAUUGGAAACUACCUUGCUCGAGGGUUGGAGGGGGGACUGGAAUACUUGGUGUAGCAGUGAAAUGCGUAGAUAUCAAGUGGAACACCAGUGGCGAAGGCGAGUCCCUGGACAACUCCUGACACUGAGGCACGAAAGCUAGGGGAGCAAACAGG